GAUGAACGCUGGCGGCGUGCCUAAUACAUGCAAGUCGAGCGAACGGACGAUAAGCUUUCUUCUCUGAGGUUAGCGGCGGACGGGUGAGUAACACGUGGAUAACCUACCUAUAUUACUUGGAUCAAUUCGGGAAACCAGUGCUGAUUACAGAUAAUAUUUUGAACCGCUUGAUUCAAAAGUUCAAGACGGUCUUCCUGUCACUAAUAGAUGGAUCCGCGCUGCAUUAGCUAGUUGGUAAGGUAACGGCUUACCAAGGCAACGAUGCAUAGCCGACCUGAGAGGGUGAUCGGCCACACUGGAACUGAGACACGGUCCAGACUCCUACGGGAGGCAGCAGUAGGGAAUAUUCCGCAAUGGGCGAAAGCCUGAUCCAGCAACGCCGCGUGAGUGAUGAAGGUCUUCGGAUUGUAAAACUCUGUUAUUAGGAAAGAACAGAUGUGUAAGUAACCGUGCACAUCUUGACGGUACCUAAACAGAAAGCAACGGCUAACUACGUG
RNAcentral lists this ribosomal RNA (497 nucleotides) under uncultured bacterium. Its description in RNAcentral is "partial 16S ribosomal RNA". It matches the Rfam family "Bacterial small subunit ribosomal RNA", at positions 28 to 507 of the family's 1533-position model. The record is from RNAcentral.